Molecule: long non-coding RNA, 1063 nt
Organism: Alexandromys fortis (reed vole)
Lineage: Eukaryota; Metazoa; Chordata; Mammalia; Rodentia; Cricetidae
Exons: 2
Source: RefSeq, a predicted model, not a curated record
UUAUGAUGUGGGAGUGAUUUCUUAUUAAUAAAGAAACUGCCUUGGCCCAUUUUAUUGGAUAGAAAAUUAGGUAGGCGGAGUAGACAGAGGAGAAUGCUGGGAAAAAGAAGCUGUGUGAGGAGUCGCCAUGGUUCUCCCGCUCCAGACAGACGCAGGUUAAGAUCCUCCCUGGACUUUUCAUGACAAUGAGACACGUCUGCUUCUGGCAGCACCAGCUACUUCAAGAGGAAGAUGGGCAUCGAAGAGGAUCCUUAUGGAUAGCCAUUUGGGCAAGAAACUGCUCUUGCCUGGACUAUUGCAUAAACUGGACACAGAGAACCCACAGAGAGAGGACUACUGAACUUGCCUAAAGGUGAGAUGGUCUUUCGGGGUUCCUGAUUCAUGAAGGAGUCUGCGAGACAUUCUGCAGGACACAGCAGAAAAUGACUGAACUGUCUUUAAAAUUUCCUGCUUCAUGGAAAUGUCUCUGGAUAACAUGGGCCUGUAGGCCAAAGAUGGAUGCCCCAACGGUACAGAGGAACUUUGGGUGACUGUCCAGGCAGCGAGAUGUCUCUGUCAUUUCUAGAAUUUUCUUAUUUCUUGUUACUUAAGUAUUAUUAUAUCCUUCUGGAGUCUUUGAUGGAGUUGAAGAAUGAAUAGUUAUAGUUUUCCUUAGUUAUGGUAAGAGAUAAAAUAGAUAUAAAUAUUGUAACUGUAAUUCUUACUUGAUAACUGUUUUGUUAUAUGUAAUUUUACUAUGUUAAAGUUAAAGCCUUUCUUUUUUGUUUAAACAGAAAAAGGGGAAAUGAUGUGGGAGUGAUUUCUUAUUAAUAAAGAAACUGCCUUGGCCCAUUUUAUUGGAUAGAAAAUUAGGUAGGCGGAGUAGACAGAGGAGAAUGCUGGUAAAAAGAAGCUGUGUGAGGAGUCGCCAUGGUUCUCCCGCUCCAGACAGACGCAGGUUAAGAUCCUCCCUGGUAAGCCAGCUCGUGGGCUACACAGAAUAUUAGAAAUGGGUUAGAACAAUAUGUAAGAGCUAGCCAUAAGGAACUGGAACUAUCCGGGCCAGGCAGUGUUUGAAAGAAUA